UGUGGUGACCAUUUGCGGGGUAACUCUCCAUUGGCGGGCAGGAGUAAGGGCUUAUAGUAAGAAUGCUACACCCAUCAUCAUGAAUGAUUAUGGUGGUGGUAGUCUAUUACAUAUCCGCCAAAGGAGAGUUGCUCAGCGAUUGCUCCUUACA
Molecule: microRNA precursor, 151 nt
Filed under: Picea abies (Norway spruce)
Lineage: Eukaryota; Viridiplantae; Streptophyta; Pinopsida; Pinales; Pinaceae
Description: miR399a stem-loop (pab-MIR399a)
Gene: pab-MIR399a
Source: miRBase by way of RNAcentral